UGAAACAUAACAUAUCACCCUGCAGCCCCAGACUGAUUGCCCACUGAAGCUAAGCAGGGUUGAGCCUGGUCAGUACCUGGAUGGGAGACCUCCUGGGAAAACUAGGUUGCUGUUGGAA
This 118-nucleotide ribosomal RNA is filed under the name Sinocyclocheilus grahami. Lineage: Eukaryota; Metazoa; Chordata; Actinopteri; Cypriniformes; Cyprinidae. The record is from RNAcentral.